CCCUGGAGGACUGUUCGCCGCUGGAAAUCUGAAGAUUUUCCUUGUCAAUGUCAACAAUAAGGAUCCCAUUCUGACCUGCAGUUUAUUCAACAUUGAAAACGCUGUCCUGAGUGUCACAUCUGUCAACUCAACUCUGCACAACGAAGUGGACAUCACACUGGAUGAGGAAAUCCCAGUUGGGAAAACGGUUGGAGCGUGCCGGGCAGAUGACGAAGAUGACUUGGGAGAUUUGACCUUCCAACUUGAGCCUGGGAAUGUUUACUUUGCAGUUGAUCAAGGUAGGUUGAAACUUGUUCUCCACAAAUUGUCUUAUCACACGUGGUUGCAAUCAUAGGUUUCUACGCACAUCCCACCUGCAGACUGUUUCUUGAUUUCCAAGACCCCAGCAUGAAGCGUGUGCGAGAGACACUUCCCAACGAUCCGUUCCACACCUCUCUGCAAGGUCAAUUUCUUU
This 454-nucleotide long non-coding RNA is filed under the name Fukomys damarensis (Damara mole-rat). RNAcentral's name for it is "lncRNA (ENSFDAG00000032885.1)". The record is from RNAcentral. Lineage: Eukaryota; Metazoa; Chordata; Mammalia; Rodentia; Bathyergidae.